GACGAACGCUGGCGGCGUGCCUAAUACAUGCAAGUCGAACGAAGCUGUUUUAACUGGUGCUUGCACCGACUUAAACAACUGAGUGGCGAACGGGUGAGUAACACGUGGGUAACCUGCCCCAAAGCGGGGGAUAACAUUUGGAAACAGAUGCUAAUACCGCAUAACCACAGAAACCACAUGGUUUCUGUGUCAAAGAUGGUUUCGGCUAUCACUUUGGGAUGGACCCGCGGCGUAUUAGCUAGUUGGUAAGGUAAUGGCUUACCAAGGCAAUGAUACGUGGCCGAACUGAGAGGUUGAUCGGCCACAUUGGGACUGAGACACCGCCCAAAAUCCUACGGGAGGCAGCAGUAGGGAAUCUUCACAAUGGGCGAAAGCCUGAUGGAGCAACACCGCGUGAGUGAAGAAGGGUUUCGGCUCGUAAAACUCUGUUGUUAAAGAAGAACGUAUCUAAGAGUAACUGCUUAGGUAGUGACGGUAUUUAACCAGAAAGCCACGGCUAACUACGUGCCAGCGCCGCAGUAA
RNAcentral lists this ribosomal RNA (522 nucleotides) under uncultured bacterium. Its description in RNAcentral is "partial 16S ribosomal RNA". It matches the Rfam family "Bacterial small subunit ribosomal RNA", at positions 28 to 523 of the family's 1533-position model. The record is from RNAcentral.